Ribosomal RNA from Danio rerio (zebrafish), 117 nucleotides. The record is from Ensembl. Lineage: Eukaryota; Metazoa; Chordata; Actinopteri; Cypriniformes; Danionidae.
AGCCACAGCCAUAUCACCCUGCAGCCCAAGACUGGUUACUCACUUAAGCUAAGCAGAGCUGAGCCUGGUCAGUACGUAGUUGGGAGACCACAUGUGAAAACUAGGGUACUGUUGGAA